UCGAUAGAGCAGCGAUAAAGCGGGGAAAGCAGCGAAACCGACAUACCCAGUUGAGUUCCUCGGCGACGAAGUCUCGUCCGAAGGCAUAACGAUUCUUUAGGAUGCCCCCGAGGAUUGACGCUUCGGAAAACUGGGCCUCAAAACCGAUAUCUACGGGAAAUGAUGAAAAACAUAGAAACACUCAAAUUACGCGUUAUAUUAAUUAUUACAUAUUAUCUUUAUUAUUAUAUGUUACUUUACGUUAUCUUUGAUCGUUGACAUAUCUUUUUAAAAGUUCGAAAAUUUUUUAAAGCGAAAGAGAUUCCCUGACUUCUUUCCAACUGUCUUAAACUAACGAGAAACACAGGAAGACAGAGUCAGUUACACCGAUAGUUUGAUGAAUCGACAACGAUCCAAAGCAGUAGAUGUGAUGCUUUGGAGAAUCGUUGUCGAUUCAUCAAACUAUCGGUGUAACUGACCCUGUCUUCCUGUGUUUCUCGUUAGUUUAAGACAGUUGGAAAGAAGUCAGGGAAUCUCUUUCGCUUUAAAAAAUUUUCAAAAAUAAGCCUAAUUGAACAUUUUCAAUAUCACUAUGCACUAAAUGAAAUAGAACGGCAUCAAUGGAAUUUCCCGUACUCUAUGAAACGACAUUUCACGGCAAAGUUCGAAUAUGUCGGUUGGAGGAUCAGUAAACUCCGGUAUGUCGGUUUAUUCAACAACCUAACCUUAACUUUUCUCGCGCAGUUCAACGACCGACGACAGAGUUUCGCACAAGAUCGGAAGUAUUUUCAAAAGAACUCUCAAAACUCACGCUACGAAAAUAAUAUAGUCGAAUAAAUUACUUACCGCCGAUUUGUUACUCUAAUUUUCGCAAGAAGAUAGCUCGACGAAAAUUUCGGCGAACGAGAAAAAGGAUCGUACGACGCCAACGAAACGGCCGAAUCCGCUUUUGCAAGCAGGAACUGGAAUCGGAAUACUUCGGUUCCGAUUUCUGCGCACAACGGACAAAAUUGAUGUCCCGUCCGACAAAGUUCGGUACUCGACAGUAGGAGACGCGAAUAUACACGCCGCAAUUAUCGCACCUUUAUCAGUUAUGACGGUUUUCCUCCACUGUUCGCCGUUGGAGGCCGGUUUUCCCGCUCGACCGCACGAACACGUCGCAGAUUCAAACGCCACAAUGAACGUGUCGGAGCAGGUCGGAGUACCCGUCGUGCCUUUCGUCUCGAGGGGAGCGGACGUCGAGGGCUCGGCGAGAUAUCGAUCACCGAUCGAUAUCGCGCUCACGGCGCGAAUUAUAAAUCCGACGAGUGGCCCGCCUUCGACGCUAAAAAAAGCGUUCGGCUUCGAUCGCGGCCUGCGUGGCCGCCGGUUUGUUUUCGCAAGUUCGCCAGACCGCGCCGAUCGUGUGAAUCGCGCGAGUUAUACGUAGAGCCACGCACGAGCGAGCACCCGUGUGCUCGAGAGAGGAUUUAUUUUCGUUAUCGCGCUAUCGUGCCAAAAAAACGGACGCGCCGACAGCCACGUUGACGACACGACGAGACUGCUGACGCGAAGCUCGAAUUUUCCCUUCGGUCUUCGCGGUGCGGAAUGCGAGUUUCUUUCUGGGUGAAUUUUCGAAAUUUUCGAAAAGUUCCUCGAGGUGUCCAACGGAACCUCCGAGAGCGAGCGAAGAGUUUCCCGCACGCGAUCGAGUGUGUCGACACGUUCACAACUUAAACAUUGAAAUUCGCUCAUUGUAGCGCGCGCGCGGGCUACAGUAUUUUCAGUAGCUGUAUACUUAAACUGCUAUUCACAGGACGCGAUAAAUAGGCAAAUGGAGUACUUUACAUAAUUAAUGUGUCAUACAUGCGCGACACUUGUCUCUGGUGGGAGAUCGGUGCGUCAUAUAUGCGACGUCUCGUUACAUACGCAUAACAAACGCGUUAAUGAUACGAAGGCGCAUGAAGCACUCGCGUUUAUAAAGUCCCGUUUACGAUAGCUACUUUAAGUCCUGAGUCUUAAGAAAUCGUAGCCAAUCGUAGUCGAAUGUGAGGAGAAUGAUUGACUAUGAUCGAUUAAUUUCUUAUCUUACGCCUUAAAUUCUCAGUAUAGAUCUCACUUAAGGGGAUGUCAAAGUCGAAGACGAACUUCACAAGCGUCGAUAGAGGCAAGAUUCCAAGUGUUAUGUUACGUAACACUCACAUGAUCACGCUACUCUUUUUGUAUUUCUCAUACAUACAGGUCUUACGUAAAUGCCACUGAGUUUCACUGAGGUGUAAAAAUGUUUCUUGAAAUUCUCCUGAUUGGAGCAUCGGCACGUUUGCACGAAAAAGCUGCGGAAUUUUUGUACCAGACGUACUCCUUGUGCUGUCUGACUGAAUUAAAGCGCGCCGGACAACAUUCGAGCAUUUGAUACACGAAAGGACAGCAGGUGUACGAUAGUUGGAUUUUUACGCAGCGACAUACCGGUUAU
Dinoponera quadriceps is the source of this 2431-nucleotide long non-coding RNA. RefSeq lists it as uncharacterized. NCBI's taxonomy places the organism in Eukaryota, Metazoa, Arthropoda, Insecta, Hymenoptera, Formicidae. The record is from RefSeq and is a predicted model, not a curated record. The transcript is spliced from 4 exons.